This 216-nucleotide ribosomal RNA is filed under the name uncultured Leptolinea sp. RNAcentral's name for it is "partial 16S ribosomal RNA". It matches the Rfam family "Bacterial small subunit ribosomal RNA", at positions 1168 to 1382 of the family's 1533-position model. The record is from RNAcentral. Lineage: Bacteria; Bacillati; Chloroflexota; Anaerolineae; Anaerolineales; Anaerolineaceae.
GGAAGGUGGGGAGUGACGUCAAGUCAGCAUGGCCUUUAUAUCCUGGGCUACACACACGCUACAAUGGCCAACACAAUAGGUUGCUAAGCCGCGAGGUGGAGCCAAUCCAUAAAGUUGGUCUCAGUUCAGAUUGUAGGCUGCAACCCGCCUGCAUGAAGAUGGAGUUGCUAGUAACCGCAGGUCAGCUAUACUGCGGUGAAUACGUUCCCGGGGCUU